GGGGUUGUAGCUCAGUGGUACAGUGCUUGCCUUGCAUGCAUGAGGCCCUGUGUUCAAUCCUCAGCACCACA
Molecule: transfer RNA, 71 nt
Filed under: Marmota monax (woodchuck)
Lineage: Eukaryota; Metazoa; Chordata; Mammalia; Rodentia; Sciuridae
Description: tRNA.Ala
Rfam family: tRNA
About the family: Transfer RNA (tRNA) molecules are approximately 80 nucleotides in length.
Source: RNAcentral